AAUUGUUCGCAAUGGGCGCAAGCCUGACGACGCAACGCCGCGUGGAGGAUGAAGAUUUUCGGAUCGUAAACUCCUGUCGAAUGGGACGAAUAGAUUGCGGGUUAACAGCCCGUAGUCCUGACGGUACCGUUAAAGGAAACCCCGGCUAACUUCGUGCCAGCAGCCGCGGUAAGACGAAGGGGGCUAGCGUUGUUCGGAAUUACUGGGCGUAAAGCGAGUGUAGGUGGUUGUCGUAGUCAGGCGUGAAAGCCUUGAGCUCAACUCAAGAAAUGCGCUUGAUACUGGGCAGCUAGAGGACCGAGGAGGAUAGUGGAAUUCCCAGUGUAGUGGUGAAAUACGUAGAGAUUGGGAAGAACACCAGUGGCGAAGGCGGCUAUCUGGACGGUUUCUGACACUAAGAUUCGAAAGCGUGGGGAGCAAAC
RNAcentral lists this ribosomal RNA (422 nucleotides) under uncultured bacterium. Its description in RNAcentral is "bacterial SSU rRNA". It matches the Rfam family "Bacterial small subunit ribosomal RNA", at positions 360 to 773 of the family's 1533-position model. The record is from RNAcentral.